UGGUGAAUAGCUCAGUCACACGUGGCCAAACUACCUUCGGAACACAAUAUCCUCGGGAAACUGACGCUAAUAUGUAUACCAUACCACCACUGGUAUGAGUGGUAUGCCAAACGCUCCGGCGCCGAAGGAUGUGGCUGCUGCCGAUUAGGUAGACGGUGGGGUAACGGCCCACCGUGCCAAUAAUCGGUAUGGGUCAUGAGAGUGAGAACCCAGAGACGGUAUCUGAGACAAGAUUCCGGGCCCUACGGGGCGCAGCAGGCGCGAAACCUUUACACUGCACGACAGUGCGAUAGGGGGAUCCCAAGUGCACAGGCAUUAGCGCCUGUGCUUUUCGGUACCCUAACGCGGUACCAGAAUAAGGGCUGGGCAAGACCGGUGCCAGUCGCCGCGGUUAUACUGUGCAGCCCANGA
Molecule: ribosomal RNA, 411 nt
Filed under: archaeon 'A315-UMH 31% pond'
Lineage: Archaea
Description: bacterial SSU rRNA
Rfam family: Archaeal small subunit ribosomal RNA
Source: RNAcentral